CCUACGGGGGGCAGCAGUGGGGAAUAUUGCACAAUGGGGGAAACCCUGAUGCAGCGACGCCGCGUGAGUGAAGAAGUAUUUCGGUACGUAAAGCUCUAUCAGCAGGGAAGAAAAUGACGGUACCUGACUAAGAAGCCCCGGCUAACUACGUGCCAGCAGCCGCGGUAAUACGUAGGGGGCAAGCGUUAUCCGGAUUUACUGGGUGUAAAGGGAGCGUAGACGGGAGCGCAAGUCUGGAGUGAAAUCCCAUGGCUUAACCAUGGAACUGCUGUGGAAACAGUGCAGCUAGAGUGCAGGAGAGGUAAGCGGAAUUCCUAGUGUAGCGGUGAAAUGCGUAGAUAUUAGGAGGAAUACCGUUAGCGAAGGCGGCAAUCUGGCUGGAAACUGACGCUGAGGUGCGAAAGCGUGGGUAGCAAACAGGAUUAGAUACCCGUGUAGUC
RNAcentral lists this ribosomal RNA (440 nucleotides) under uncultured bacterium. RNAcentral describes it as "partial 16S ribosomal RNA". It matches the Rfam family "Bacterial small subunit ribosomal RNA", at positions 338 to 795 of the family's 1533-position model. The record is from RNAcentral.